This 88-nucleotide microRNA precursor is filed under the name Equus caballus (horse). RNAcentral describes it as "mir-9014 microRNA precursor family". It matches the Rfam family "mir-9014 microRNA precursor family". Lineage: Eukaryota; Metazoa; Chordata; Mammalia; Perissodactyla; Equidae. The record is from Rfam by way of RNAcentral.
GGAGCCAUACGAUGGUAUCCCAAUCCACCCUUAGGAAAAGAAACCUGUCACAGGAGUCUUGGAGACUGGCGACCGUCCUAAUGAUUUA